GGCUCCCUGCUGAGCAGAGAGCCCGAUGCGGGACUCGAUCUCAGGAUGCUGAGAUCAUGACCUGAGCCGAAGGCAGCGGCUUAACCCACUGAGCCACCCACGCACCCCAAUUCUAGAAAGUCUUUGCUAAACUCUCCUUCCAAAUAUGAAGAACCUACCUCCCAUGGGUUGAAGAAAUUUGCCAUCUGUAGGGUAACAUUACCCUUUUUAUCUGCAGGAGAGAAGUUUCCCUCUGAUCAUAAUGGCAAAGCAGCCAAACUUACCUCCAAAAUUCUGCGCUGAACUCUACCCUCAUAUAGGACAUGUUAAUUUCUAUGUUGCUUUGUUCUUCUGCCAAAUGCUAAUGGUUUGAUAUCCAAAAUAGAUGAAGAUAAUUAACAGCAGUUGCAUAUUUUUGAGAAGCUUUGAAUUUGGUUAUUGCAGAUUUUCUAAGAUGUUGCUUUCCUUUUUUAUACAGAAAGCAUUUAUUGAGCUGGCUUCUGGACCAAGUGCUGGUGAUUCAGCUGUGAAUAACACUUCCUCUGGAGUGUUUCAGGUAAGACAAAAAUAUAAAAAAUAAGCUGUAAUGAACUUUAAUAAGUCCUUGAACAGAGGUACACAAAUUCUAUGGGAGCGUAGAGGAAAACAGAAUUGAUUCUGUGGUUCUAGGGAGGCCUUCCCAGAGCAGAAGGCAUUUGGGCAGGUCCUCAAGGAGAGGCAGGAGCUCCCUAAGUGGAGUGAGAGCACUUAAAGUAGAGAACAGAAUGACUAAAAGCUCUGAUACAUCCAAGUGCGGUGCAAGUUCUUAUUUCUUUUCAUUCCAGAUGAGACAAAUCAGGAAUCCAGGGAGAGACCCGUGUCAAGGAGGCUGCUCUCUCCAAGGGAAGACUUCUCUUCUCAGACCUGCUACAAACAGAAAUUUCAGGACUGCAGAAGCAGGGGGCUCCCCAAAACCUGGGAUCCAUGAACUCCAGAUUAAGAAUCCCUCGAGGAAAAUCUUGUUUACCGCAAGUUUACAGUGGAGAACAAAUGUCAGGGAAAGUAAGAAGAGAAUUGCUGAACAUAGUAUAUCCACUUCAGGCCAUGAGCGCACAGCAACACCCAGGAUGUUUUCCUGCCCUAGGAAGAUAUACAUGAAGCUGGAAAGUACCAGGUAUGGGGACCUCUGUCUAGUGGAGAUACGUUGGUACAGCCACUGGAAGGUUGAAAAUAGCCGCUUGGCUCCAGAAAGCCAAAUAUUUGAAAGGAUAUCAUAUCUAAAAGGAUAGGCCAACCAGUUCACAGUCGAAACCCCUUCCAUCAUCUGCGAUCACCAUUAGCAGUGUUUCAACGUUCAAAUCCAUUCCAACAACAUUUUAUAAACAAUGUGUCUGGAAGUGUGGGAGAUGAAAAAUGUCACUGAGACACGGACUCUGACACAGGGAUGGUCAUCUCUGAGUGGAGAAUACAAAUGGCCCUUGCAACAACCUGGCCCUCAAUUCUUUGACCUUCAACUUAAAUGUCUUUCUUCAAGACUCUUUCAGUUGCACACAACCUUAGCCACUCCUUUGGUAUUAUCCUCACAUGAUAUUCCUUCAUCAUCAAGAUUUCAAACUCUAAAAUUCUCUGAGACCACAAACUCUCAUUCUUCUGUCAUUCUCAUACCAAUUAAUUUUUUUUUUCUUUACUCUCAGCAUGAACUCCAGACUCCUUGAAUAUUCAUAUCCAAGCAUUCAACUGCCUUGAUUUCACUUGCCUCUUUCCUAGCCUGGAUACCCUGGACACGCGAAGUGACCCAGGACCACUAGGUGGCAGCAGUGUCUCAACUAAACUGUCCACCAGGGUGGGCACGAAGAUCAUUGGUAUUAAUAACAGGAGCCUCGAGUUUGAAGGGGCAGGGCAAAAAUGGAAUUAAACAAAAGAUAGAGAAUACAAGGAGAUCAGUCAGCUGGGGAAAGGUCUUGAGCCCCCACAUAAGUGUAAACCAGAGAAAUGGCUUGGUCUUAGCAAUGGGAGGUGGCAGUCACUCCCAAGUUCAUUGACUAAGCAUUCCAUACCUAGCCAUGUGGAUAGUCUUCCCUUGCUUUGAAAUAUUCACUGCCCAGCUUCCUUUUUAAAAAAAAAAAAAUUUGUUAUUUAUUUAUUUGUUUGACAGAGAGUGAGAGAGAGCGUGCACAAGCAUGGGGAGUGGCAGGGAGAGGGAGAAGCACGCUGAAUAGAGACCAACGUGGGGCUCCAUCCAUCCCAGACCCUGGGAUCAUGACCUGAGCCAAAGGCAGAUGCCCAACCGACUGAGCCACCCAGGCACCACCUCCUGCUUAUCUGAAGUACUUUCUAUUUAAGGCUUAAUUACUUGAUGGCAGUAAGCCUCCUGGAAUCCUUUGCUCUUAACUGCCUUGUCAGUCCCCAGUGACAAAGUCAGCUCCCUUGUCUCUCUCCUUCUGGGCAGCCAGGUGCUCCUACAGAAUGUUGGAAGGGUCUACACAUGACUCAACUCUCCGUCCAUAAUAUGUAACCUUCAGUGGGGACCUCAAGGCUGGUCACCAUUCUUCUUUACGUCCUUAGUUAACCUCUUGGGGGGCAUUGCUCAUGGAAACAAUUCUAACCCUGCUUCACUCCCUCAGGCUCCCUGGCCACAUUUCAGCUCCCCGAUCUCACAUCCUCCUUUAUCUGAAGGACUGAGACCAUCCAUCCCGUCCUUCCCCCACAGUCCUCCUCCACUGUAGCCAGAGCACAGGACCCACAGAGGCUUCCAUGGGACCUUUCUAGAGGUGGCUCAGGAAGAUGUCAGAAAUGCCACCCUCUUCCAUGCAGAGUAAUAAAAGGAUAUCCUGCAUCUCAUCUCAGAAUCAAUGUGCUUCUCUGAAAGAUACUUUACUGUCUCGGUCAUCUCAGGCUGCCACAACAGAACACGACAGCCUGGCUGGCUUAAAUAUCAGCAUUUAUAUCUCACAGUUCUGGGGCCUGGGAGGUUCCAGAUCAAGGUGCCAGCCAAUUUGGUCACUGGGGAGCAUGUGCCUGGCUUGCAGAGAACCACCUUCUCUUACACCUUUACAAGGGUCUUUUCCUCAGGCAUGCACCUCUCUCUUCCUCUUCUCAUCAGGCUGCUGAUCCCAUCAGGAGGACCUAACCCUGUGAACUACCCCAAGCCCCGUCUCCAAACACCCUCACACAUGAAUUUGGGAGUGCACAAAUAUUGAGCCCAGUACAGUUAUAAAUGUUGAUGACUGAAGUCUUCCCUAACUCACAGGAGGAAGCCCCGGGUGGCAAGUUGGACAAUUCUCAUCUGCAAAGAUAAUGAUUGCAAAUGCUUUUACUAAAAAAUUAACACACAGACAUAAAAUAGAUUCUCUUCUGGUAAAUUUCAAUUGGGCUUGUUUCCUCUUCAAUGAUUUCUGAUUCAUUUAUUCAAUCAUUGAGUUAAUAAAUACUUACUGACUUGAGCCGAGACUCCUAACCACUGCUUCUGGCCAAAUGCAGAAAUGUGUUGAUGCAGCACUUUUGCAGCAGAUAAAGAGUAUUUUAAAAGAAGAAUCAUUCAUCCAGAAUCUGUCAGAAUCACCCUCCAGCACUAUGGGAAGAGAGGUAUGUCAGUGUGUCAGCUGUGAGCUCAGAUGAAACAAUAAAGUGCCUUGGGAUGAACUUUUUUAUUAUCAUUACUCCUGAUAUUCAAGUAGCUUUCAAAGGCUUUUGAUCUAAUGAAAAGAUAACGUGUGGACGGAGACAUGUUCUAGUCCGCUUGACGGGCACAUCUUGUAGAACAGUGAUGUCAACGAGAAUUCCAUCAUUUUUAUCAGUUUGUUAUGAACUAGAUUAUUCAGGAUCAUUGCCGCCCCACCCCCAUCACUCCUGAGUGAACUAACAAGAAUGAAUUUUAAAAUCUACACUGCCAUAGACUUGACCUUGGCCUCAGAAUGAUCUCACCAGUUUGCUGACUGGCAUCCUCUGAAGUUCAGCCUGAUCCUCCUGCUCCUGAAGCUUCCACUCUUAACUUAAAGUCAUGUCCAUGGGCGCCUGGGUGGCUCAGUGGGUUAAGCCGCUGCCUUUGGCUCAGGUCAUGAUCUCAGGGUCCUGGGAUCGAGUCCCGCAUCGGGCUCUCUGCUCAGCAGGGAGCCUGCUUCCCUUCCUCUCUCUCUGCCUGCCUCUGCCUACUUGUGGUCUCUCUCUGUCAAACAAACAAACAAAUAAAUAAAUAAAUAACUUAAUAAAAAAAUAAAAAAUAAAGUCAUGUCCAUGUUAAACUGUAUUCAGUGGGUUGAAUUAAUGCACUGCUUUAAUAUUAAUAAAUUAAUUUAUGGGAUUAUAAAU
Molecule: long non-coding RNA, 4266 nt
Organism: Mustela putorius furo (domestic ferret)
Lineage: Eukaryota; Metazoa; Chordata; Mammalia; Carnivora; Mustelidae
Source: Ensembl